Molecule: small nuclear RNA, 161 nt
Filed under: Sorex araneus (European shrew)
Lineage: Eukaryota; Metazoa; Chordata; Mammalia; Eulipotyphla; Soricidae
Description: U1 spliceosomal RNA (ENSSARG00000014608.1)
Rfam family: U1 spliceosomal RNA
About the family: U1 is a small nuclear RNA (snRNA) component of the spliceosome (involved in pre-mRNA splicing). Its 5' end forms complementary base pairs with the 5' splice junction, thus defining the 5' donor site of an intron.
Source: RNAcentral
AUACUUACCCUUUAGGGGAGAUAUCAUGUUCAUGAAGAUGUUUUCUCAAGGCCGGUUUAUCCAUUCACACCUGAUGUGACAAUCCCUGAGAUAAACCAAAAUGUGGAAAAAUAGAUGUAUAAUUUAUGAUAUUAAGAAAACUGGGUUCACCUUCUUCCUUA